RNAcentral lists this transfer RNA (76 nucleotides) under Austwickia chelonae NBRC 105200. Its description in RNAcentral is "tRNA-Ala". It matches the Rfam family "tRNA". Rfam says of the family: Transfer RNA (tRNA) molecules are approximately 80 nucleotides in length. Their secondary structure includes four short double-helical elements and three loops (D, anti-codon, and T loops). The record is from RNAcentral. Lineage: Bacteria; Bacillati; Actinomycetota; Actinomycetes; Micrococcales; Dermatophilaceae.
GGGGCUGUGGCGCAGCUGGUAGCGCACCUCGUUCGCAACGAGGGGGUCAGGGGUUCGAGUCCCCUCAGCUCCACAA